CAUGACAGUCGAGCGGGGUUGAAGCGAGGGGUAACUCGAACUUCUACCUAGCGGCGGACGGGUGAGUAACGCGUGGGCAACCUGCCUCAAGGUCUGGGAUAACAGCCCGAAAGGGCUGCUAAUACCGGGUAAGCUUGUGGCCUCGCAUGGGGCCAUGAGCAAAGGGGAAACCCGCCUUGAGAUGGGCCCGCGUCCCAUCAGCUAGUUGGUGAGGUAAAGGCUCACCAAGGCGACGACGGGUAGCCGGCCUGAGAGGGUGACCGGCCACACUGGGACUGAGACACGGCCCAGACUCCUACGGGGGGCAGCAGUGGGGAAUCUUGCACAAUGGGCGAAAGCCUGAUGCAGCGACGCCGCGUGAGCGAAGAAGGCCUUCGGGUUGUAAAGCUCUGUCUGGAGGGACGAAGGAAGUGACGGUACCUCCGGAGGAAGCCACGGCUAACUACGUGCCAGCAGCCCGAGGUAAUAC
This 469-nucleotide ribosomal RNA is filed under the name uncultured Bacillota bacterium. RNAcentral's name for it is "bacterial SSU rRNA". It matches the Rfam family "Bacterial small subunit ribosomal RNA", at positions 54 to 526 of the family's 1533-position model. The record is from RNAcentral. Lineage: Bacteria; Bacillati; Bacillota.